Triplophysa dalaica is the source of this 1476-nucleotide long non-coding RNA. RefSeq lists it as uncharacterized. The transcript has 3 exons. NCBI's taxonomy places the organism in Eukaryota, Metazoa, Chordata, Actinopteri, Cypriniformes, Nemacheilidae. The record is from RefSeq and is a predicted model, not a curated record.
CUGAGAUCCAGCUGGGCCUUUACACGCUGACCGUAGUGGAUGUACGUACGCGAGUGUGUGUGGUGAUGGGGCUUGAUGGGGGAUAGUAAAUUGACUCUAGCAGACCCCAGACCCGGCCCGCUCUCCAGGGACCCCCGGGCCACACAAGCAGUUCUGGACAGAAGUGCCUGUCACCACUGCAGUGAAAAAUUAUCCAAGAGGUUCUGCUGAACUGUUCCUACAGAGCUGAGGGCUAAAAACUCUGGCGGUCAACGAGAGGAUUGAAUGCAGUGAGGCUUUCUAAAAAAAGAAAUUCCACAGAAGAGAGAUAUGGUCCUCAACUGAUAAGGAUACUUAAAUGGGUUUCAUUUACAUUUACAUUUAUGCAUUUGGCAGACGUUUUUAUCCAAAGCUACUUACAUUGUUUUAUCCUAUACAUUUUACAUAGGUAUUUGCAAUCCCCUGGGAUCGAACCCACAACCUUCUCUUACCACUGAGCUACAGGAAAGUUGUAAAUGUCUAGUAAUGUGUUAUGUCUUGAAAAUGUAUUUAGCUGUUCAUUUUGAAAUUCAUAUCUACCAUCAUAUAAAUCUGGAUGUUAACAGAUCUAUUUUUACACGUCUCUAUACGUUUUUUGUGUUGUAGCCGCUUACAGACAGAAGAAACUUUGUGACUGUGCAAUUACACUACAUUGCCAAUAGAUGUCAGCAUAAAAUUGGAGCAUUCGGCCCUUGCUUGCUGCGACUGCAUCCUACAGCGGUUGACGCACAGUCUAGUCAAUCAACGAGUUCACAUUCACAGAGGCAACGUUUUGUGCUUGAGAAGGUACUUCGUAAGGAAAAUGCUACAUACUUCCAUGUCCUGACUAAUAACAACUAUUGCAAUGCUCUACUUGCUGGACUUUCUCCUUGCAAAACAAAACCACUACAGAUGAUCCAGAAUGCAGCGGCAAGAGAGGUCUUCAAUGAACCGAAGAGAGCACACAUCACUCCUCUUUUCAAUAAGUUACAUUGGCUCCCUAUAGUCGCUCGCAUCAAAUUCAAGACUCUGCUCCUGGCCUACAAGACCACCACUGGUUCGGCACCACCUUAUCUUCAUUCACUUAUGCAGACUUAUGUACCCGCCAAACCUUAUGCUCUGCAAAAGAACAACGUCUUGUGGUGCCAUCCCAAAAAGAUAAAAAAUCGCUCUCAUGAACCUUCUCUGGAUCGGUUCUACAUCUGUGCAAUGAUCUGUCUGCUAUCCGCAGAUUCUGUGGCCAUCUUUAAGAAUCGGCUGAAAACACAUCUCUUCUGUCAGCACCUGACCAGUCAUUUCUGAUUUCUGUAUCUUUUCUACUCUAUCUAUAUAUAAACAAACAAAAAAAUGCAUGCUUACUUAAACUUAGAUAAACUAAACUUGGCGCUGUGCACUGUAGUAGGUUUUGUGAAACAUGUUUUUAUUGCUUUUAAAACUAUGAUUUUAUGUCUUUAUUUUUGUCAUAUUACUCUCAGACUG